CUCGCCGCACCGCCCAUGGCCGGCCUCCGCAACAAAGGGGCUACGGGCGCCAAAUCCCAGGGCG
This 64-nucleotide non-coding RNA is filed under the name Pseudopedinella elastica. Lineage: Eukaryota; Dictyochophyceae; Pedinellales. The record is from RNAcentral.